AUUAGUUAGGUCUUUAAACCCAAAGAAUUUGGCGGUAUCUCAUUCCAUUCAGAGGAACCUACCCCGUAAUUGAUAAUACACGAUUUACUCUACUUAAUUUAUUUGUUUGUAUAUCUCCGUUAUCAGAGAAUCUUUUUAGGGUUAUAAUUCUCAGGAUUUAUAAUUAUAAAAUAUUUCAGGUCAAGGUGCAGCUUAUAGUUAGAGGAGGUGGGUUACAAUAUAUUUUUGUGUAUAAUGGAUUCAAUAGUGAAAUACUUUUGAUGAAGGUGGAUUUGAUAGUAAUUUGAUUUAUUUAAUUUAACUGAUAUUGGCUCUGAGAUGUGUACACAU
This 330-nucleotide ribosomal RNA is filed under the name Chondracris rosea rosea. RNAcentral describes it as "partial 12S ribosomal RNA". Lineage: Eukaryota; Metazoa; Arthropoda; Insecta; Orthoptera; Acrididae. The record is from RNAcentral.